CGGGGGUGAGGGGGCGGGCGAAAAGACAGCAAUAAAAGCCAGAGUUCCUGGCGGAUUCCGCGGCGCAUGCGCCACCAACCACUCCCUUUCCUCCUCGGCAAAAGCCAUCCGCUUCGGUUGGAGCGCGAGCUGAUUGGCUGAGGCAUUUUACUGAAGGGCUGAAAGUAAAGUGAGUCGGUGUCAGCAGAAACCGUUGUCAGCAAACAAGAGUUGAAGUCCCUAGGCUGAGGAAGCAUGAAGCACCUGUCACCACCUGGGGAAAAUAAGAGGAUUUUCCAGCCAGCAGUACUUUCUCUUUGUCCUUUUAAAAGUGUGGGGGGUGGGGAUGAAUGCCAUCAACGAGUCAACUGUCACAUGCAAAUUGUUCAUAAUGGAAAGUUUCCAUCAAUCCUGAUAAUAUCUUUUGCAUUUUCAAAGCCUAUAUGGUUUUUGUUUACAGAGUCUAAUUAGCAUGUUCUGUUCUGAGUUUUUCCAUAUUAUUCCUUCAAACAUCUUUCUCUGGAGCCAAACCAGACCCUAGUUAUUCCUACCUCCACACCUUUGCAUAUGCUGUUCUGUUUGCCUGCAACGUGCUCAAACAUGACCUCAGUUGCUUCAGA
Non-coding RNA from Phascolarctos cinereus (koala), 599 nucleotides. The record is from RefSeq and is a predicted model, not a curated record. Lineage: Eukaryota; Metazoa; Chordata; Mammalia; Diprotodontia; Phascolarctidae.